AGGGCACCACCAGGAGUGGAGCCUGCGGCUUAAUUUGACUCAACACGGGAAAACUCACCCGGCCCGGACACUGGAAGGAUUGACAGAUUGAGAGCUCUUUCUUGAUUCAGUGGGUGGUGGUGCAUGGCCGUUCUUAGUUGGUGGAGUGAUUUGUCUGGUUAAUUCCGAUAACGAACGAGACUCUAGCCUACUAAAUAGAUCGUCGGCUUACAAACGCCGGCGAGACUUCUUAGAGGGACAGGCGGUGAUUCAACCGCACGAAACAGAGCAAUAACAGGUCUGUGAUGCCCUUAGAUGUCCGGGGCCGCACGCGCGCUACACUGAAGUGAUCAGCGUGCCUUUUCAACCUACUCUGUCAAGAGUGGGGAACCCAAUGAACCUUCUUCGUGAUUGGGAUAGGGGAUUGUAAUUAUUCCCCUUGAACGAGGAAUUCCCAGUAAGCGCGAGUCAUAAGCUCGCGUUGAUUACGUCCCUGCCCUUUGUACACACCGCCCGUCGCUACUACCGAUUGAAUGUUUU
Molecule: ribosomal RNA, 519 nt
Filed under: uncultured eukaryote
Lineage: Eukaryota
Description: SSU rRNA
Rfam family: Eukaryotic small subunit ribosomal RNA
Source: RNAcentral